UAGAGCUUGCUUUAGUGGAAACCGGCGCACGGGUGCGUAACACGUAUGCAACCUACCUCUAACUGGGGAAUAGCCUCCCGAAAGGGAGAUUAAUACCGCAUAACAUCACGAAAGGGCAUCCUUUUGUGAUCAAACCUCCGGGGGUUAGAGAUGGGCAUGCGUCCGAUUAGCUUGUUGGUGAGGUAACGGCUCACCAAGGCUACGAUCGGUAGGGGGUCUGAGAGGACGAUCAGCCACACUGGGACUGAGACACGGCCCAGACUCCUACGGGAGGCAGCAGUAAGGAAUAUUGGACAAUGGGCGCAAGCCUGAUCCAGCCAUGCCGCGUGCAGGAUGACGGCCCUAUGGGUUGUAAACUGCUUUUAUAUAGGAAGAAACCCCCCGACGUGUCGGGGGUUGACGGUACUAUACGAAUAAGGGUCGGCUAACUCCGUGCCAGCAGCCGCGGUAAUACGGAGGACCCAAGCGUUAUCCGGAUUUAUUGGGUUUAAAGGGUGCGUAGGCGGAUUUAUAAGUCAGUGGUGAAAUCCUACAGCUUAACUGUAGAACUGCCAUUGAUACUGUAGAUCUUGAGUACGGUUGAGGUGGGCGGAAUGUGUCAUGUAGCGGUGAAAUGCUUAGAUAUGACACAGAACACCAAUUGCGAAGGCAGCUCGCUAAACCGUAACUGACGCUGAGGC
This 680-nucleotide ribosomal RNA is filed under the name uncultured Bacteroidota bacterium. Its description in RNAcentral is "bacterial SSU rRNA". It matches the Rfam family "Bacterial small subunit ribosomal RNA", at positions 74 to 752 of the family's 1533-position model. The record is from RNAcentral. Lineage: Bacteria; Pseudomonadati; Bacteroidota.